Molecule: non-coding RNA, 23 nt
Filed under: Arabidopsis thaliana (thale cress)
Lineage: Eukaryota; Viridiplantae; Streptophyta; Magnoliopsida; Brassicales; Brassicaceae
Source: RNAcentral
UGGUACCAUAUUAGAUUGUGGAC